AUGUAUUUGUGUUUUCCAUUAUUUUUCUUCUUUUCUCCUGUUUUGAUGUACUGUUGGCGGCAGGGAUGGAAGGAGGAGGAGGAGAGAGCAGGGGUGUAACGAAAUACUAUACACUACUCCUCAUUUUGAAAUCAUGUUGUGGACGAAUCAGUGAAAAAAAAAAACAAAGGAGCAUUAUCACA
Molecule: non-coding RNA, 182 nt
Filed under: Heterosigma akashiwo
Lineage: Eukaryota; Raphidophyceae; Chattonellales; Chattonellaceae
Source: RNAcentral